This 292-nucleotide ribosomal RNA is filed under the name uncultured bacterium. Its description in RNAcentral is "partial 16S ribosomal RNA". It matches the Rfam family "Bacterial small subunit ribosomal RNA", at positions 505 to 796 of the family's 1533-position model. The record is from RNAcentral.
GUGUCAGCAGCCGCGGUAAUACGAAGGGGGCUAGCGUUGCUCGGAAUCACUGGGCGUAAAGCGCACGUAGGCGGCUUUUUAAGUCAGGGGUGAAAUCCUGGAGCUCAACUCCAGAACUGCCCUUGAUACUGAGAGGCUCGAGUUCGGGAGAGGUGAGUGGAACUGCGAGUGUAGAGGUGAAAUUCGUAGAUAUUCGCAAGAACACCAGUGGCGAAGGCGGCUCACUGGCCCGAUACUGACGCUGAGGUGCGAAAGCGUGGGGAGCAAACAGGAUUAGAAACCCUGGUAGUCC